CAAUAGCGUAUACUAAAGUUGUUGCAGUUAAAAAGCUCGUAGUUGGAUUUCUGUCUGAGAUGAACGGUCGGAACGUAAGUUCUUUGCACUUGUUAAUCAUUUUGGACUUCCUUGGUAUUAAUCUAUAUGGUAUUUAUUUAUCGUGUAGGGGAGUAUCAUCAUUUACUGUGAGCAAAAUAGAGUGUUCAAAGCAGGCUUAGGCCCGAAUACAUUAGCAUGGAAUAAUAAGAUAGGACUUUGGUCUAUUUUGUUGGUUUACAUUCCAAAGUAAUGAUUAAUAGGGAUAGUUGGGGGUAUUCGUAUUCAAUUGUCAGAGGUGAAAUUCUUGGAUUUAAUGAAGACGAACUACUGCGAAAGCAUUUACCAAGGAUGUUUUCAUUAAUCAAGAACGAAAGUUAAGGGAUCGAAGACGAUCAGAUACCAU
Molecule: ribosomal RNA, 424 nt
Filed under: uncultured eukaryote
Lineage: Eukaryota
Description: SSU rRNA
Rfam family: Eukaryotic small subunit ribosomal RNA
Source: RNAcentral